Molecule: ribosomal RNA, 447 nt
Filed under: uncultured bacterium
Lineage: Bacteria
Description: bacterial SSU rRNA
Rfam family: Bacterial small subunit ribosomal RNA
Source: RNAcentral
UCCCCAGACUCCUACGGGAGGCAGCAGUGGGGAAUAUUGCACAAUGGGGGGAACCCUGAUGCAGCGACGCCGCGUGGGUGAAGGAGCACCUCGGUGCGUAAAGCCCUAUCGGCAGGGAAGAAACAGACGGUACCUGACUAAGAAGCCCCGGCUAACUACGUGCCAGCAGCCGCGGGAAUACGUAGGGGGCAAGCGUUAUCCGGAUUUACUGGGUGUAAAGGGAGCGUAGACGGCGAUGCAAGCCAGAUGUGAAAGCCCGGGGCUCAACCCCGGGACUGCAUUUGGAACUGUGUGGCUGGAGUGUCGGAGAGGCAGGCGGAAUUCCUAGUGUAGCGGUGAAAUGCGUAGAUAUUAGGAGGAACACCAGUGGCGAAGGCGGCCUGCUGGACGAUGACUGACGUUGAGGCUCGAAAGCGUGGGGAGCAAACAGGAUUAGAUACCCCUGUA